CUCACCUUAUGGUAAUCUCCUACGGGAGAUGCGUAAAUGAGGAACGUGUACUCAGGUGCUGGAGCUGCUCCAAGGAUAGCGCCACUCCCUAUUAGCCGAGGCCUUGUAUACAAAACUCCUUUACCCGGAGGAGGAACAUAAAACACCAAAAAAAACCAUAAAACCCGUGAGGAGCUUCUAGAGAUGAGAGCAAACUAUGAUCAAGAAUCAUAUCGAUUGGAAUAGAGAUACACAUUGGUCCAUAGUCCAUACCCAUUUCUUGAUGGCAUGUACAGUUUGCUUAACUGCUUCGAUGAAUUGCUCCACAGAAGGUGGUGUCAUACAAAGCCUAUCAGCACAUGUUUGCAUACUAAGAGCGUUUUCGUCAGGCCGGAACAGCCUAACCUGGUCGUCUUCUGUCCUGUCAGCUUUGAGAUCUUCAAAUAGUCCCUACAAAGGCAAACCAAUAUCAAAAAAGUUUUUCUAUCAAACCCUCAUAUAUGUGUAUAAACACUAAAUCUCUAAGCUUUUGCUCGCUUAUACACUGAAAUCAAAUAGCUUUAAACAAUCUAUGUAUCACUACUUUGAAUCCAGAGAUUAAAAGCUUCUAACUAAUGAUCCUGCCCUAAUUAAACCCAAACGUCCUAUAAUGUUGUCGCAAGGGACUUCGAAGGAGUUGAUGUUGAGUAGUUUAUUCUCUGCAAGCUACUAAAAAGAUCUGUUAGGCUAUCAUUUAAGAAUAAAUCUUGCACCUGAAUCAACUGCCAACGCUUUGUGUUCAACAUCAACAAAGAAAAAUGAAAAUAAUGCAUAUUAUUAGGCUAUUAGCGAGAAAUACAACAACUGGUCAUCAUAAUGAAAGUUUUAAGAAUUUGCCUUAGGUUGAAUAUUGGGUGGUCUGUCUCGAAAUCCUCGGUAUAAGUUUCGGUUUGAAUAAUUUAAGAAUCCCAAUGUCAAAAGCCUACAAAGUGUUUAGAACCAUACCUCUUGAACAGGAUCGAAGAAAGCUCAUGAGAGGAAACUCGUCAUCGCCGUCCAGGAACCCUAACCCAAAAUCUACAGUUAACCCUAAUCAGCUCUUGAGAAUAGGAGAGGCGAAAAAAGGGGUGAGUUGUUUCAAUAUCCUUUAUGGAGGAUGGAGGUGGAAGCGGCGGCGGGGAAUUGAGAGAGGUGGGCUCAAUCGGAGAUGAGUUAGGGUUUAGGUUAGCUGGGUCGGGGGGGAACGGGAGGUGGAGAAGGAGGCUGAGAAGAAGGCGAGGAAGGAGGAUGUGGUGAGAUGGUUCAGCCAUAACGGCAGAGACGGUGGAGGAGAAAAUCGGAGACGGCAUUCUCGAAAGAGAAUUUUUUUUUUCCAAAGAACUUGUUUUUGUUCUUCUCCGAACAAUAUAAA
Molecule: long non-coding RNA, 1369 nt
Filed under: Eutrema salsugineum
Lineage: Eukaryota; Viridiplantae; Streptophyta; Magnoliopsida; Brassicales; Brassicaceae
Description: long non-coding RNA (ESAL_LNC001174)
Source: RNAcentral